Molecule: ribosomal RNA, 468 nt
Filed under: uncultured bacterium
Lineage: Bacteria
Description: partial 16S ribosomal RNA
Rfam family: Bacterial small subunit ribosomal RNA
Source: RNAcentral
GACGAACGCUGGCGGCGUGCUUAACACAUGCAAGUCGAACGGAAAGGCCCUGCUUUUGUGGGGUGCUCGAGUGGCGAACGGGUGAGUAACACGUGAGUAACCUGCCCUUGACUUUGGGAUAACUUCAGGAAACUGGGGCUAAUACCGGAUAGGAGCUCCUGCUGCAUGGUGGGGGUUGGAAAGUUUCGGCGGUUGGGGAUGGACUCGCGGCUUAUCAGCUUGUUGGUGGGGUAGUGGCUUACCAAGGCUUUGACGGGUAGCCGGCCUGAGAGGGUGACCGGCCACAUUGGUACUGAGAUACGGCCAAGACUACUACGGGAGGCAGCAGUGGGGAAUAUUGAACAAUGGGCGGAAGCCUGAUGCAGCAACGCCGCGUGCGGGAUGACGGCCUUCGGGUUGUAAACCGCUUUCGCCUGUGACGAAGCGUGAGUGACGGUAAUGGGUAAAGAAGCACCGGCUAACUACGUG